Molecule: ribosomal RNA, 439 nt
Filed under: uncultured bacterium
Lineage: Bacteria
Description: partial 16S ribosomal RNA
Rfam family: Bacterial small subunit ribosomal RNA
Source: RNAcentral
CUACGGGUCGCAGCAGUGAGGAAUAUUGCACAAUGGGGGGAACCCUGAUGCAGCAACGCCGCGUGGAGGAUGACGCAUUUCGGUGUGUAAACUCCUUUUAUAUGUCAAGAAAAUGACGGUAGCAUAUGAAUAAGCACCGGCUAACUCCGUGCCAGCAGCCGCGGUAAUACGGAGGGUGCAAGCGUUACUCGGAAUCACUGGGCGUGAAGGACGCGUAGGCGGGCUUGUAAGUCAGGUGUGAAAUCCUACAGCUUAACUGUAGAACUGCACUUGAAACUACGAGCCUAGAGUAUGGGAGGGGGAGAUGGAAUUAGUGGUGUAGGGGUAAAAUCCGUAGAUAUCACUAGGAAUACCUAAAGCGAAGGCGAUCUCCUGGAACAUAACUGACGCUAAGGCGUGAAAGCGUGGGGAGCAAACAGGAUUAGAUACCCUAGUAGUC